AGGCCUGUAGUUUCAAUGGUAAAACAUCGGUCUCCAAAACCGAGGUUCUCGGUUCGAAUCCGAGCGGGCCUGCAA
Molecule: transfer RNA, 75 nt
Filed under: Candidatus Magasanikbacteria bacterium RIFOXYA2_FULL_44_8
Lineage: Bacteria; Candidatus Magasanikiibacteriota
Description: tRNA-Trp
Rfam family: tRNA
About the family: Transfer RNA (tRNA) molecules are approximately 80 nucleotides in length. Their secondary structure includes four short double-helical elements and three loops (D, anti-codon, and T loops).
Source: RNAcentral